UACGGAGGAUGCGAGCGUUAUCCGGAUUUAUUGGGUUUAAAGGGUGCGUAGGCGGACGCUUAAGUCAGCGGUAAAAUUGCGGGGCUCAACCUCGUCGAGCCGUUGAAACUGGGUGUCUUGAGUGGGCGAGAAGUACGCGGAAUGCGUGGUGUAGCGGUGAAAUGCAUAGAUAUCGCGCAGAACUCCGAUUGCGAAGGCAGCGUACCGGCGCCCAACUGACGCUGAAGCACGAAGGCGUGGGUAUCGAACAGG
This 252-nucleotide ribosomal RNA is filed under the name uncultured bacterium. Its description in RNAcentral is "partial 16S ribosomal RNA". It matches the Rfam family "Bacterial small subunit ribosomal RNA", at positions 524 to 776 of the family's 1533-position model. The record is from RNAcentral.